This 432-nucleotide ribosomal RNA is filed under the name uncultured bacterium. RNAcentral describes it as "partial 16S ribosomal RNA". It matches the Rfam family "Bacterial small subunit ribosomal RNA", at positions 29 to 506 of the family's 1533-position model. The record is from RNAcentral.
AACGAACGCUGGCGGCAUGCCUAACACAUGCAAGUCGAACGAGACCUUCGGGUCUAGUGGCGCACGGGUGCGUAACGCGUGGGAACCUGCCCUUAGGUUCGGAAUAACUCCCCGAAAGGGGUGCUAAUACCGGAUAAUGUCUUCGGACCAAAGAUUUAUCGCCUUUGGAUGGGCCCGCGUUGGAUUAGCUAGUUGGUAGGGUAAAAGCCUACCAAGGCGACGAUCCAUAGCUGGUCUGAGAGGAUGAUCAGCCACACUGGGACUGAGACACGGCCCAGACUCCUACGGGGGGAACGAGUGGGAAAAUUGGGACAAGGGGGGAAACCCUGUCCCAGCAAUCCCGGGGGGGGGAUGAAGGCCUUAGGGUUGUAAAGCUUUUUUCCCCGGGAUGAUAAUGACAGUACCGGGAGAAUAAGCCCCGGCUAACCCCGU